UGCCCUAGUAACGGCGAGCGAAGCGGCAACAGCUCAAAUUUGAAAUCUGGCUAUUUUGUAGUCCGAGUUGUAAUUUGUAGAGGAUGCUUUUGGUGAGGUGCCUUCCGAGUUCCCUGGAACGGGACGCCAGAGAGGGUGAGAGCCCCGUACGGUUGGAUACCAAACCUUUGUAUAGCUCCUUCGACGAGUCGAGUAGUUUGGGAAUGCUGCUCUAAAUGGGAGGUAUAUCUCUUCUAAAGCUAAAUAUAGGCUAGAGACCGAUAGCGCACAAGUAGAGUGAUCGAAAGAUGAAAAGCACUUUGAAAAGAGAGUUAAACAGCACGUGAAAUUGUUGAAAGGGAAGCGCCUAUGACCAGACUUGUUUCUUUCAGUUUUGUUAGUUUUCGGACUGAUUUACUCUGUUAGUACAGGCCAGCAUCAGUUUGUUGUCAGGGAGAAAGGCUUAGGGAAUGUGGCUCUUUCGGGAGUGUUAUAGCCCUUUGCAUAAUACCUUUCGGCAGACUGAGGACCGCGCUUCGGCAAGGAUGCUGGCGUAAUGGUCAUCAGCGACCCGUCUUGAAACACGGACCAAGGAGUCAACCUUAUGUGCGAGUGUUUGGGUGUAAAACCCCAGCGCGUAAUGAACGUGAACGUAGGUGAGAGCUUCGGCGCAUCAUCGACCGAUUCUGAUGUUCUCGGAUGGAUUUGAGUAAGAGCACACAGGGUUGGACCCGAAAGAAGGUGAACUAUGCUUGUAUAGGGUGAAGCCAGAGGAAACUCUGGUGGAGGCUCGCAGCGGUUCUGACGUGCAAAUCGAUCGUCAAAUAUGAGCA
Molecule: ribosomal RNA, 812 nt
Filed under: Berkeleyomyces basicola
Lineage: Eukaryota; Fungi; Ascomycota; Sordariomycetes; Microascales; Ceratocystidaceae
Description: LSU rRNA
Rfam family: Eukaryotic large subunit ribosomal RNA
Source: RNAcentral